RNAcentral lists this unclassified non-coding RNA (385 nucleotides) under soil metagenome. RNAcentral's name for it is "partial contains 5.8S ribosomal RNA, internal transcribed spacer 2, and large subunit ribosomal RNA". The stretch from base 1 to 120 matches the Rfam family "5.8S ribosomal RNA", at positions 35 to 154 of the family's 154-position model. The record is from RNAcentral.
GAUGAAGAACGUAGCGAAAUGCGAUAAGUAAUGUGAAUUGCAGAAUUCGGUGAAUCAUCGAAUCUUUGAACGCACCUUGCACCCUUUGGCAUUCCGAAGGGUAUGCUCGUUUGAGUGUCAUUGUACUCUCACACUCCCAAUUGCUUUGGAUUGGGAGCGGUGGACUUGGGUGUUGCUGCUUGACUGAGGCUCACCUGAAAUAUGUUAGUGCACCUCUUGAUUGGACAUAGUACGGCGUGAUAAGUGUCUUCGCCGGCUCCUCGCAAAGAGGGUGGCCGAUCGGGAGCUCUGUUGCUUCAAACUGUCUUCGGACAAUCUUCUGGCGACUUGACCUCAAAUCGAGUAGGACUACCCGCUGAACUUAAGCAUAUCAAUAAGCGGAGGA